AAUCAAGUGUCUUAAGGGCAUCUGGUGAAUGCCUUGGCAUUGAGAGGCGAUGAAGGACGUGGCACGCUGCGAUAAGCUACGGGGAGAUGUGAGCAAUCUUUGAUCCGUGGAUUUCCGAAUGGGGAAACCCGACCGUAAGGUCAUCAUGCACUGAAUAUAUAGGUGCAUGAAGCGAACCCGGGGAACUGAAACAUCUAAGUACCCGGAGGAAAGGACAUCAACCGAGACUCCGUUAGUAGUGGCGAGCGAACGCGGACCAGGCCAAUGCCGAUAAAUCUAUAACUGGAACCAUCUGGAAAGAUGGGCCGUAGUGGGUGAUAGCCCCGUACAGGUGUUUAGGUUUGUCGGAUUCGAGUAGGGCGGGACACGUGAAAUCCUGUCUGAACAUGGGGGGACCACCCUCCAAGCCUAAGUACUCCUCAAUGACCGAUAGUGAACCAGUACCGUGAGGGAAAGGUGAAAAGCACCCCGACGAGGGGAGUGAAAUAGACCCUGAAACCGGAUGCCUACAAUCAGUCGGAGCCCCCUCGGGGGUGACGGCGUACCUUUUGUAUAAUGGGUCAGUGACUUAGUCUGGCGAGCAAGCUUAAACCGAUAGGUGUAGGCGCAGCGAAAGCGAGUCUGAACAGGGCGUUCAGUUCGUCGGAUUAGACCCGAAACCGAGUGAUCUAGAUAUGAGCAGGUUGAAGGUGCGGUAACACGCACUGGAGGACCGAACCCACUAAUGUUGAAAAAUUAGGGGAUGACUUGUGUCUAGGGGUGAAAGGCCAAUCAAACUCGGAUAUAGCUGGUUCUCCGCGAAAUCUAUUUAGGUAGAGCGUCGCACGAAUACUCUCGGGGGUAGAGCACUGGAUGGGCUAGGGGGCCUCACCGCUUACCAAACCUAACCAAACUCCGAAUACCGAGAAGUACUAUGCGGCAGACACACUGUGGGUGCUAAGGUCCACAGUGGAAAGGGAAACAGCCCGGACCGCCAUCUAAGGUCCCGAAGUUAUGACUAAGUGGGAAAGGAAGUGGGACGGCCAAAACAACCAGGAGGUUGGCUUAGAAGCAGCCAUCCUUUAAAGAUAGCGUAACAGCUCACUGGUCUAAAUAAGCUAUCCUGCGCCGAAAAUGUAACGGGGCUAAAGUCAUACACCGAAGAUGCGGGUGUGCUAGCUUGCUAGCACGCGGUAGCGGAGCGUUCCGUAAGCCUGUGAAGGCGUGACGCGAGUCAUGCUGGAGGUAUCGGAAGUGAGAAUGCUGACAUGAGUAACGAUAAGGAGAGUGAGAAACUCUCCCGCCGAAAGUCCAAGGGUUCCUGCACAAUGUUAAUCAGAGCAGGGUUAGCCGGCCCCUAAGGCGAGGGCGAAAGCCGUAGUCGAUGGGAACGGGGUUAAUAUUCCCCGGCCAGUGGGACGUGACGAAUUGCGUAAGUUGUUCCUCCUUAAUGGAUUGGAGGGGCCGCGAAGCAGUUCCAGGAAAUAGCGCCCACAUGAGACCGUACCCUAAACCGACACAGGUGGACUGGUAGAGUAUACCAAGGCGCUUGAGAGAACGAUGCUGAAGGAACUCGGCAAAAUGCCUCCGUAACUUCGGGAGAAGGAGGCCCAUCCUCGAGGCAACUCUUGGGUGGGGGCACAGACCAGGGGGUAGCGACUGUUUAUUAAAAACACAGGGCUCUGCGAAGUCGCAAGACGACGUAUAGGGUCUGACGCCUGCCCGGUGCCGGAAGGUUAAGAGGAGAGGUGCAAGCUUUGAAUCGAAGCCCCGGUAAACGGCGGCCGUAACUAUAACGGUCCUAAGGUAGCGAAAUUCCUUGUCGGGUAAGUUCCGACCUGCACGAAUGGCGUAACGACUUCCCCGCUGUCUCCAGCAUCGACUCAGUGAAAUUGAACUCCCCGUGAAGAUGCGGGGUUCCUGCGGUUAGACGGAAAGACCCCGUGCACCUUUACUAUAGCUUUGCAGUGGCAUUAGUGGCGGCAUGUGUAGAAUAGGUGGUAGGCUUUGAAGCGGGAGCGCCAGUUCCCGUGGAGCCGCAAAGUGAAAUACCACCCUUAUCUUCAUUGAUGUCUAACCGCGGACCGUUAUCCGGUUCCGGGACCCUGCAUGGUGGGUAGUUUGACUGGGGCGGUCGCCUCCCAAAGAGUAACGGAGGCGCGCGAAGGUAGGCUCAGGCCGGUCGGAAAUCGGUCGCUGAGUGCAAUGGCAAAAGCCUGCCUGACUGCGAGUCUGACAAGACGAGCAGAGACGAAAGUCGGUCAUAGUGAUCCGGUGGUCCCGCGUGGAAGGGCCAUCGCUCAACGGAUAAAAGGUACGCCGGGGAUAACAGGCUGAUGACGCCCAAGAGUCCAUAUCGACGGCGUUGUUUGGCACCUCGAUGUCGGCUCAUCGCAUCCUGGGGCUGGAGCAGGUCCCAAGGGUUUGGCUGUUCGCCAAUUAAAGCGGUACGUGAGCUGGGUUUAGAACGUCGUGAGACAGUUUGGUCCCUAUCUGCCGUGGGUGUAGGAAACUUGAGAGGAGCUGUCCCUAGUACGAGAGGACCGGGAUGGACAUACCUCUGGUCGAGCUGUUGUCGCGCCUGCGGCAUUGCAGCGUAGCUAAGUAUGGACAGGAUAACCGCUGAAAGCAUCUAAGCGGGAAGCCCCCCUCGAAACAAGGUUUCCCUUGAGAACCGUGGAAGACCACCACGUUGAUAGGCCGGAUGUGGAAGCGCAGUAAUGCGUGAAGCUGACCGGUACUAAUUGUUCGAUAGGCUUGAUUGU
Molecule: ribosomal RNA, 2744 nt
Rfam family: Bacterial large subunit ribosomal RNA
Source: Rfam